GAUGAACGCUGGCGGCGUGCCUAAUACAUGCAAGUCGAACGAAACUUCUUUAUCACCGAGUGCUUGCACUCACCGAUAAAGAGUUGAGUGGCGAACGGGUGAGUAACACGUGGGCAACCUGCCCAAAAGAGGGGGAUAACACUUGGAAACAGGUGCUAAUACCGCAUAACCAUAGUUACCGCAUGGUAACUAUGUAAAAGGUGGCUAUACUACCGCUUUUGGAUGGGCCCGCGGCGCAUUAGCUAGUUGGUAGGGUAAAGGCUUACCAAGGCAAUGAUGCGUAGCCGAAUUGAGAGGUUGAUCGGCCACAUUGGGACUGAGACACGGCCCAAACUCCUACGGGAGGCAGCAGUAGGGAAUCUUCCACAAUGGGCGAAAGCCUGAUGGAGCAACGCCGCGUGGGUGAAGAAGGUCUUCGGAUCGUAAAACCCUGUUGUUAGAGAAGAAAGUGCGUGAGAGUAACUGUUCACGUUUCGACGGUAUCUAACCAGAAAGCCACUGCUAACUAC
RNAcentral lists this ribosomal RNA (509 nucleotides) under uncultured bacterium. RNAcentral's name for it is "partial 16S ribosomal RNA". It matches the Rfam family "Bacterial small subunit ribosomal RNA", at positions 28 to 504 of the family's 1533-position model. The record is from RNAcentral.